AAUGGGGGAAACCCUGAUGCAGCGAUGCCGCGUGAGUGAAGAAGGCCCUUGGGUUGUAAAACUCUUUCGUCGGGGAAGAAAAUGACUGUACCCGAAUAAGAAGGUCCGGCUAACUUCGUGCCAGCAGCCGCGGUAAUACGAAGGGACCUAGCGUAGUUCGGAAUUACUGGGCUUAAAGAGUUCGUAGGUGGUUAAAAAAGUUGGUGGUGAAAUCCCAGAGCUUAACUCUGGAACUGCCAUCAAAACUUUUUAGCUAGAGUAUGAUAGAGGAAAGCAGAAUUUCUAGUGUAGAGGUGAAAUUCGUAGAUAUUAGAAAGAAUACCAAUUGCGAAGGCAGCUUUCUGGAUCAUUACUGACACUGAGGAACGAAAGCAUGGGUAGCGAAGAGGAUU
This 392-nucleotide ribosomal RNA is filed under the name uncultured Gammaproteobacteria bacterium. RNAcentral's name for it is "bacterial SSU rRNA". It matches the Rfam family "Bacterial small subunit ribosomal RNA", at positions 370 to 779 of the family's 1533-position model. Lineage: Bacteria; Pseudomonadati; Pseudomonadota; Gammaproteobacteria. The record is from RNAcentral.